GACGAACGCUGGCGGCGUGCUUAACACAUGCAAGUCGAACGGAAAGGCCCUGCUUUUGUGGGGUGCUCGAGUGGCGAACGGGUGAGUAACACGUGAGUAACCUGCCCUUGACUUUGGGAUAACCUCAGGAAACUGGGGCUAAUACCGGAUAGGAGCUCCUGCUGCAUGGUGGGGGUUGGAAAGUUUCGGCGGUUGGGGAUGGACUCGCGGCUUAUCAGCUUGUUGGUGGGGUAGUGGCUUACCAAGGCUUUGACGGGUAGCCGGCCUGAGAGGGUGACCGGCCACAUUGGGACUGAGAUACGGCCCAGACUCCUACGGGAGGCAGCAGUGGGGAAUAUUGCACAAUGGGCGGAAGCCUGAUGCAGCAACGCCGCGUGCGGGAUGACGGCCUUCGGGUUGUAAACCGCUUUCGCCUGUGACGAAGCGUGAGUGACGGUAAUGGGUAAAGAAGCACCGGCUAACUACGUGCCAGCAGCCGCGGUGAUACGUAGGGUGCGAGCGUUGUCCGGAUUUAUUGGGCGUAAAGGGCUCGUAGGUGGUUGAUCGCGUCGGAAGUGUAAUCUUGGGGCUUAACCCUGAGCGUGCUUUCGAUACGGGUUGACUUGAGGAAGGUAGGGGAGAAUGGAAUUCCUGGUGGAGCGGUGGAAUGCGCAGAUAUCAGGAGGAACACCAGUGGCGAAGGCGGUUCUCUGGGCCUUUCCUGACGCUGAGGAGCGAAAGCGUGGGGAGCGAACAGGCUUAGAUACCCUGGUAGUCCACGCUGUAAACGGUGGGUACUAGGUGUGGGGUCCAUUCCACGGGUUCCGUGCCGUAGCUAACGCUUUAAGUGCCCCGCCUGGGGAGUACGGCCGCAAGGCUAAAACUCAAAGGAAUUGACGGGGCCCCGCACAAGCGGCGGAGCAUGCGGAUUAAUUCGAUGCAACGCGUAGAACCUUACCUGGGUUUGACAUGGAUCGGGAGUGCUCAGAGAUGGGUGUGCCUCUUUUGGGGUCGGUUCACAGGUGGUGCAUGGCUGUCGUCAGCUCGUGUCGUGAGAUGUUGGGUUAAGUCCCGCAACGAGCGCAACCCUUGUUCACUGUUGCCAGCACGUUAUGGUGGGGACUCAGUGGAGACCGCCGGGGUCAACUCGGAGGAAGGUGGGGAUGACGUCAAGUCAUCAUGCCCCUUAUGUCCAGGGCUUCACGCAUGCUACAAUGGCUGGUACAGAGAGUGGCGAGCCUGUGAGGGUGAGCGAAUCUCGGAAAGCCGGUCUCAGUUCGGAUUGGGGUCUGCAACUCGACCUCAUGAAGUCGGAGUCGCUAGUAAUCGCAGAUCAGCAACGCUGCGGUGAAUACGUUCCCGGGGCU
This 1346-nucleotide ribosomal RNA is filed under the name uncultured bacterium. RNAcentral's name for it is "partial 16S ribosomal RNA". It matches the Rfam family "Bacterial small subunit ribosomal RNA", at positions 28 to 1381 of the family's 1533-position model. The record is from RNAcentral.